Molecule: ribosomal RNA, 217 nt
Filed under: uncultured eukaryote
Lineage: Eukaryota
Description: partial 18S ribosomal RNA
Rfam family: Eukaryotic small subunit ribosomal RNA
Source: RNAcentral
UGGUGGAUUGAUUUGUCUGGUUAAUUCCGUUAACGAACGAGACCUCAGCCUGCUAAAUAGUUGAACAAACCGGCUGCCGGAGAAAGUGGUUUGUGCGAUGUGUGGGUUUAGGCCUGCGCUCCACGGCUGUGGGAUCCAUGCUGCGUUUGUUAAAAUUCAAUCAACUUCUUAGAGGGACUAAUGUGUGUUUAACCAUUGGAAGUUUGAGGCGAUAACA